This 484-nucleotide ribosomal RNA is filed under the name uncultured bacterium. RNAcentral describes it as "partial 16S ribosomal RNA". It matches the Rfam family "Bacterial small subunit ribosomal RNA", at positions 29 to 507 of the family's 1533-position model. The record is from RNAcentral.
AUUGAACGCUGGCGGCAUGCUUUACACAUGCAAGUCGAACGGCAGCGCGGGCUUCGGCCUGGCGGCGAGUGGCGAACGGGUGAGUAAUACAUCGGAACGUGCCCAGUAGUGGGGGAUAGCUCGGCGAAAGCCGGAUUAAUACCGCAUACGACCUGAGGGUGAAGGCGGGGGAUCUUCGGACCUCGCGCUAUUGGAGCGGCCGAUGGCAGAUUAGCUAGUUGGUGGGGUAAAGGCCUACCAAGGCGACUAUCUGUAGCUGGUCUGAGAGGACGACCAGCCACACUGGGAGUGAGACACGGCCCAGACUCCUACGGGAGGCAGCAGUGGGGAAUUUUGGACAAUGGGCGAAAGCCUGAUCCAGCAAUGCCGCGUGUGUGAUGAAGGCCUUCGGGUUGGAAAGCACUUUUGGCGGGAACGAAAAGGACUGUGCCAAUACCACGGUUCGAUGACGGUACCCGCAGAAUAAGCACCGGCUAACUACGUG